UACGGAGGGUGCGAGCGUUGUCCGGAUUUAUUGGGUUUAAAGGGUGCGUAGGCGGCCCCGCAAGUCCGUGGUGAAAGCCCCUUGCUUAACAAGGGAACUGCCAUGGAUACUACGGGGCUUGAGUCCAGGCGAGGUUGGCGGAAUGGACGGUGUAGCGGUGAAAUGCAUAGAUACCGUCCAGAACCCCGAUUGCGUAGGCAGCUGACUAGGCUGGUACUGACGCUGAGGCACGAAAGCGUGGGGAGCGAACAGG
Molecule: ribosomal RNA, 253 nt
Filed under: uncultured bacterium
Lineage: Bacteria
Description: partial 16S ribosomal RNA
Rfam family: Bacterial small subunit ribosomal RNA
Source: RNAcentral